UGUCAGUUGAGGAGCUAUUGGCUGGCAGGGCAGCAAGCAGCCCACUGCAUGGCUUUGCCUCAGGGGGUCUCCUGCAUGGGGAGCAGCCCAAUUUGAGGAUUCUUCUUGCCUUUCUCUGCAAAAUGAGAACUCAUCCCUCCUUCUGGACCAGUUGGAAAAGUUACCAAAGCAAACUCCCUGCUUUUGCAGAAUACUGGUGAUAUUCUUGAUCUUUUUGUCUCCCCUUUCAUAUUCUGUAACUUCUGAUGUAUGCUGUUUCUAUCUUCUUCUCCACUUAGUAUAUUCCAUACUUCCAGUUUAUUAAUUUGUUUUCUCCUAAAGUGGGAUAUGUUUAUAUGUUUUUAGGCAAAACAAUAUUUGCACUUUGCCAAGGAAUUUGAGAUUCCUUGGACAUUUUAAUGUCUGUUUGUAGAUAUACGCAUCUGUGUUGUGUGUAUGUAUGUAUACAGACAAUGACACUAUAGAUAUACAUGCAAAUACAUGUAGUUA
This is a long non-coding RNA of Gallus gallus (chicken), 489 nucleotides long. The record is from Ensembl. Lineage: Eukaryota; Metazoa; Chordata; Aves; Galliformes; Phasianidae.